UUGAAGAGAUGGUCAAUUUAGAAAGUUCUUGUUGGGAAGUGUAGUUUUGUUUGUUUAGUUAUAUAUCAGUUUUUUUGGUGUUGCAAAGCGUUGAGGCCCAGACCCCCGAGGGCUGGAUGUGUGAGUUUUUGGUGUUUGGGUUUUUAGUUUAGAGUACAUUUGAAUAGAUUUAAGAGAAAGAAAAAAAUAUAUAUAGUUUGGAGAAUUUUUUUGUUUUAGUUUGUUAAAAAUUAAUUCAAAGUAAGGGAGACUUUUGUUUUGUUGUACAGAAUAUCGUUAGGAGAAGGAUGUGAGGGAAUGAGUGUUGUUUUUGAAAAUAACUUGUGUGGGGUGUUUUGUUUCUUUUGGAAAUUAGUUAUAUAUAUAGACAGAUAAGAGUAGAGAUAUUGAGUAAAAAGUGAGGUUUAUACGUAUUUUUUAUUUAAUGCUUAGAUUUUUUUGAGGUAUAUAUUUUUUGAGGUAUACAUUGUGUUAUUUUUUCAUAUUAUUUAUCAUGUGUCAUUUGGUU
Non-coding RNA from Cyanistes caeruleus (blue tit), 508 nucleotides. The record is from RefSeq and is a predicted model, not a curated record. Lineage: Eukaryota; Metazoa; Chordata; Aves; Passeriformes; Paridae.